GGGCGUAAAGCGCACGCAGGCGGUCUGUCAAGUCGGAUGUGAAAUCCCCGGGCUCAACCUGGGAACUGCAUUCGAAACUGGCAGGCUUGAGUCUUGUAGAGGGGGGUAGAAUUCCAGGUGUAGCGGUGAAAUGCGUAGAGAUCUGGAGGAAUACCGGUGGCGAAGGCGGCCCCCUGGACAAAGACUGACGCUCAGGUGCGAAAGCGUGGGGAGCAAACAGGAUUAGAUACCCUGGUAGUCCACGCCGUAAACGAUGUCUACUUGGAGGUUGUGCCCUUGAGGCGUGGCUUCCGGAGCUAACGCGUUAAGUAGACCGCCUGGGGAGUACGGCCGCAAGGUUAAAACUCAAAUGAAUUGACGGGGGCCCGCACAAGCGGUGGAGCAUGUGGUUUAAUUCGAUGCAACGCGAAGAACCUUACCUGGUCUUGACAUCCACAGAAGAAUCCAGAGAUGGAUUUGUGCCUUCGGGAACUGUGAGACAGGUGCUGCAUGGCUGUCGUCAGCUCGUGUUGUGAAAUGUUGGGUUAAGUCCCGCAACGAGCGCAACCCUUAUCCUUUGUUGCCAGCGGUUAGGCCGGGAACUCAAAGGAGACUGCCAGUGAUAAACUGGAGGAAGGUGGGGAUGACGUCAAGUCAUCAUGGCCCUUACGACCAGGGCUACACACGUGCUACAAUGGCGCAUACAAAGAGAAGCGACCUCGCGAGAGCAAGCGGACCUCAUAAAGUGCGUCGUAGUCCGGAUUGGAGUCUGCAACUCGACUCCAUGAAGUCGGAAUCGCUAGUAAUCGUGGAUCAGAAUGCCACGGUGAAUACGUUCCCGGGCCUUGUACACACCGCCCGUCACACCAUGGGAGUGGGUUGCAAAAGAAGUAGGUAGCUUAACCUUCGGGAGGGCGCUUACCACUUUGUGAUUCAUGACUGGGGUGAAGUCGUAACAAGGUAACCGUAGGGGAACCUGCGGUUGGAUCACCUCCUUACCUUAAAGAA
Molecule: ribosomal RNA, 987 nt
Filed under: Salmonella enterica subsp. enterica serovar Enteritidis
Lineage: Bacteria; Pseudomonadati; Pseudomonadota; Gammaproteobacteria; Enterobacterales; Enterobacteriaceae
Description: bacterial SSU rRNA
Rfam family: Bacterial small subunit ribosomal RNA
Source: RNAcentral